GGGAGUUGGCAGAGUGGUUAAUCGCGCCGGUCUUGAAAACCGGAGGCCGUCGCAAGGCGGUCCGGGGGUUCGAAUCCCUCACUCCCC
RNAcentral lists this transfer RNA (87 nucleotides) under bovine gut metagenome. It matches the Rfam family "tRNA". Rfam says of the family: Transfer RNA (tRNA) molecules are approximately 80 nucleotides in length. Their secondary structure includes four short double-helical elements and three loops (D, anti-codon, and T loops). Further hydrogen bonds mediate the characteristic L-shaped molecular structure. tRNAs have two regions of fundamental functional importance: the anti-codon, which is responsible for specific mRNA codon recognition, and the 3' end, to which the tRNAs corresponding amino acid is attached (by aminoacyl-tRNA synthetases). tRNAs cope with the degeneracy of the genetic code in two manners: having more than one tRNA (with a specific anti-codon) for a particular amino acid; and 'wobble' base-pairing, i.e. permitting non-standard base-pairing at the 3rd anti-codon position. The record is from RNAcentral.